Molecule: long non-coding RNA, 792 nt
Filed under: Ananas comosus (pineapple)
Lineage: Eukaryota; Viridiplantae; Streptophyta; Magnoliopsida; Poales; Bromeliaceae
Description: long non-coding RNA (ACOM_LNC007467)
Source: RNAcentral
UUAUAAUAUUUUUUGUAGAAAACAAAAAAUUAUCGUAAUUUCCAAUCAUACGUAAUAAAUAAAGUUUUCAAACGUAUUGCGUUUGGUUCGGGUAUAAAUAAGAACUGCUUAUUAUAAGAAUGGAUAAGUUGGUAUAAGUAGGAAUUAGACCAAUUUUGUGUUUGGAAAAAAAUUGGGUUGUUUUUUAAAAUAAAUUAAAUAAUAUUUGGAUGAUUAGAUUGGAACAAGAGUGAUAAGAGUUAUAAUUUUAAAUUAAAAAUAUUUUAUUUAAUUAAUUAAAUAUUAAAAUAUUAAUUAAAUAAUUUAAUAAAUUUAUUACCUAUAAUAUUUUGCAAAAUAAUAUAAUAUAUUAAUUAAUUAAUUAAAUAUAAAAAAUUAACUUUUUAAUUAGUUAGUAAAUUAUUUUAGUUAGGUAACUAGUAAAAAAAAUUAAUUAGAUUAAAAAAAUAUUAAUUAUUGAUCAAUAUAAAUAUUAGUUUAUGGAUAAACACAUUAAAUUAUUAUAAUUAAUUAGCUAAUUAAUUAUAAGUAAUAAAUUAAAUUAAUUAUUUUAUUAUUUAAGCCAUGGAUAAUGAUUUAAAUAUGUUAAUUAGAUUAAUUAAUAAUUUAAUAUUAUAAAUAAAUUUUAAUUUUAAUUUUAAUUAAUCUUGUUCUCAGUUGGAAACAAAUUUGUUUUAGAAAAAAAAGAAGAAUGAAGCAAGAAUUUCAAAUUUAUACCAAAUUAUACCAACUUUAUUUUAAAAAUUCAAAUAUUAUUAUUUUUAAAUAUAAAAAUUUAUAUUUAAAAAUAAA